Molecule: ribosomal RNA, 407 nt
Filed under: Verrucomicrobiota bacterium
Lineage: Bacteria; Pseudomonadati; Verrucomicrobiota
Description: Verrucomicrobia bacterium partial 16S ribosomal RNA
Rfam family: Bacterial small subunit ribosomal RNA
Source: RNAcentral
UGGGGAAUAUUGGACAAUGGAGGAAACUCUGAUCCAGCAAUUCCGUGUGUGUGAAGAAGGCUUUAGGACUGUAAAACACCUUUAGCAGGGAAGAAAAAAAUGACGGUACCUACAGAAGAAGCAACGGCUAAAUACGUGCCAGCAGCCGCGGUAAUACGUAUGUUGCGAGCGUUAUCCGGAAUUAUUGGGCUUAAAGGGCAUCUAGGCGGUAAGACAAGUUGAAGGUGAAAACCUGGGGCUCAACCAUAGGCUUGCCUACAAAACUGUUGAACUAGAGUACUGGAAAGGUGGGUGGAACUACACGAGUAGAGGUGAAAUUCGUAGAUAUGUGUAGGAAUGCCGAUGAUGAAGGUAGCUCACUGGACAGAAACUGACGCUGAAGUGCGAAAGCUAGGGGAGCAAACAGG